Molecule: ribosomal RNA, 384 nt
Filed under: Triticum aestivum (bread wheat)
Lineage: Eukaryota; Viridiplantae; Streptophyta; Magnoliopsida; Poales; Poaceae
Description: partial small subunit ribosomal RNA
Source: RNAcentral
AUGAAUUGUGUGCACAUGUAUUCAUUAGUUCUCUACUUCAUUAAACAAUCAUUGUUUCACAUAUUUCUACGGAAAAAACUGUCAGAUAGAAGAAGCACUUAUGAGCUGGCAACAGAGAAAGUAAGAAAUCCUAACCACAUUGUUUUCGUAUUAUAUUUUACCAGGUUCACAUGUCAAAUAUCCUUUCUGGCUUUCUUCGCCACAAUGGACUUUGGUUCUCUGUCUGCUAAACUCAUCUGCAGCCCAUUAGCACUUAUUCAGAGUUUUGAGUUGCAGCGGCUGUCAUGUACAUUUCAAGGGAAAACAAAAUUUCAAGAAAAUCAGUUUCUUACUUGGGAACAUCAAAAUAUAAAGUGCUUAGUUAGUAAUAAUAAAAUGCAGUGA